GUCAUUUUAAGUGAUGUGUUCUUUGUUCCUUCUUACAGUGUCAAUUUGUUGUCUGUCUAUAAACUGGCUAAAGAUAAUAAUAUAACUGUUUUGUUUAAUGAUAGUAAUUGUGUGCUUCAGGAUUCGAAAUCAGGGAGAAUCCUGGUGACUGGUAAACAGGACAAUGGCCUGUAUUUUGUUAGGAAGAAUGGUUACCUUCCUCAGUUUUGUUAGGUAAAAGCCCCUAUGAGUUAAUGUUUGGUUUUAAACCCUCUUUUGCUCAUCUUAGAGUGUUUGGUUGUUUGUGCUUUAGCACUAUAUUAAAUAAUUCAGAUAAACUAUCUUUUAAUGCUGAGAAAUGUGUCUUGAUUGGUUAUUCUAAUACAAAAAAGGUUAUAAACUGUGGAGUUUAGAUAACAAAAAGGAAUUUUAUUCUAGAGAUGUAAAAUUUUAUGAAAAUGUUUUUCCUUAUAAGUCAAAUAGGACAGUUAACCAAGGUGUUAGUUUAACUGAAAACUUAAAUCAUCUGAAUUUUUUUGAUAGUGUUGAGGUAUUAACAACUAAA
Helianthus annuus (common sunflower) is the source of this 544-nucleotide long non-coding RNA. RefSeq lists it as uncharacterized. Lineage: Eukaryota; Viridiplantae; Streptophyta; Magnoliopsida; Asterales; Asteraceae. The record is from RefSeq and is a predicted model, not a curated record. The transcript is spliced from 2 exons.